AUGGCCAACUUCAUCCCGCUGAUCGACGAGGUGCUCGCUGCUGAUCCGGCCUUGCCUCCUGCUGCUCCGACUUCCCCCACCCCUCCUGCCUCCCCCCACUCGGUCGUCGUCAUCUCAGAUGAUGAGGCAGUGGAGGAAGACCCCGAGGAGGUGGAGUUCGCCUCCGUUGAUGAGUCCACGGACUCCGACGAGGCGACGGUCAACAUCGACAUGAACCCGCCCCACUCCCGCCCUGACUGCAUCAACGUCUUCAUGCCAUACGUCCCCCUUGAGCACUUCGACACCAUCGCCUACGUCAACCCUCCCUCUGCCAACCCGGCGCCUCUCGUCCACCGUGCUUUGAGGGACGAGGCUGGCAACCCUCCAUGCACGCUGGUCACUGCCUCGCACGGGGUUGACAUGCUCGUUUUUGCCACCCCCGAUGACCAUGAGUGCGCUAUGGGGGAAUGCCCCUUCCUUGGACGCGAGCACACCGUCUACCUCAACCGCCACAACGACACCGACAACUGCUUCCUCUUUACCUACCGCGACCUCGCCGCCCUCGCCAUCGAGGACUACCCCAUCGAGCACUGGUUCCCGCAGCACAUCCUACACACCACCGGCCCCUUCGCCAACCCGUUCGACAUCAACCCCAUCUACUUGGCUGGCGUCGACUACUCCGUUGUUCUCGUCACCGUCAAGGCUAGAGACAUCAACGCUGUUCCCCAUGCGCUGGCCAUGCACGGUUUCAACGACAUCGGGGCACUCGCCUCGGUCUCCAUCAUCUCCUGCACCAACCUGCCCGCCGUCGGCUUCGACUUCGCUUCCGCUCCACCCUCGGACGACUCCACCAACGACGAUUUCCCUGCUGACAUGGACACCAACCUCGCUCCACCUCCGCCUCCGCCGACCGGGCAACAACGACGGUGGAAGGAUCACGGAGCUCCCCGGUGGCCGCACCAUGUGGGCCUUCCCCUCGCCCGCGGUCAAGGCCAAGCUGCUCCAGGAGAAACUGGCCAACAUCCUAAUCUACAUGCGCCCGGCUUCUUCGACGUGGUCGUCAUCAGCUCGGCCGGUGACCGUGGUGUUGGGAACGUAGUAAUUUCAAAAAAUUUCUACACCCACGCAAGAUCAUGCUGA
Molecule: ribosomal RNA, 1119 nt
Filed under: Triticum aestivum (bread wheat)
Lineage: Eukaryota; Viridiplantae; Streptophyta; Magnoliopsida; Poales; Poaceae
Description: partial small subunit ribosomal RNA
Source: RNAcentral